UGGGGAAUAUUGCGCAAUGGAGGAAACUCUGACGCAGCAACGCCGCGUGAAGGAUGAAGGCUUUCGGGUUGUAAACUUCUUUGAUCGGGGACGAAGAUGACGGUACCCGAGGAACAAGCCACGGCUAACUCCGUGCCAGCAGCCGCGGUAAUACGGAGGAUCCAAGCGUUAUCCGGAUUUAUUGGGUUUAAAGGGUGCGCAGGCGGAAGAUUAAGUCGGCGGUGAAAUUUUGCAGCUCAACUGUAAAAGUGCCAUCGAUACUGGUUUUCUUGAGUGUGGAUGAAGUAGGCGGAAUUUGUGGUGUAGCGGUGAAAUGCAUAGAUAUCACGAGGAACUCCGAUUGCGCAGGCAGCUUACUAGGCCAUAACUGACGCUCAGGCACGAAGGCGUGGGGAUCAAACAGG
This 404-nucleotide ribosomal RNA is filed under the name uncultured prokaryote. RNAcentral's name for it is "bacterial SSU rRNA". It matches the Rfam family "Bacterial small subunit ribosomal RNA", at positions 355 to 776 of the family's 1533-position model. The record is from RNAcentral.